AAGGUGACACAGGCAGAGCUGCGCUCCCCGGCAUGUUCAUACACACACUGGAUAGAGAACGCACUGAGCACACAGCUGUGACAGGCAGAUGAACAAUGAGCAGCGAGAUAGGAACACUAUAUUAAGCUGCUGAAUUACAUAACUAUGAACCCACCCUCAGUUGCCAGAAGCCACACCUGCCGGCGGCACAGGCAAACCGGUUAUGCCAGCUGUACCCAUCUCGUGUCAGGGUGUGUGGGGUUUCGCAGCAUGACGGCUUACCAGUGAUUUACAAAGAUGCUGGAGAUAAUGCAGGGCUUAGCAUUGCAACACAGUCCCAAAAGGGCAUUACAAGAACCUUUAUGCAUUCUCUUCCAUCAUCUCCUGCCUUGGCUACUGAAACCUCCUGCUAUAUGGCCUUCCCAUCCCAUCUUUCUGCACUACAAUCCAUCCAAAAUGCUGCAACGAGGGUGACCCUUCUCUUCACUCCACAUCCUCUGCAAAUCUUUGCUCUGCCGCCCUAUUACCUCAUCCAGCUCUGACCUCAUCACAAGAACUACUGCAGGUGUUUGGGCACCUGGGAGCUUGGGAAGCGGUGAAGAUCCCACCGAUCACAAUGCAAAUGCCGAAAUCCCGCACAGCGGUACAAUGUCGGCGCCGGAAUCUUGGCUCCACAGGCUUUUCUCCCUCUAUGGGUGACCACAACAGAAUAAAACCUGCGGCGAGAGCAGCGUGCCACCGCGCCAGCAGCAUGGCAAGCGCAGCAAGCCCACAAGGGGUUACUAGCGCUCGCCCCGCUGCCAGCAUCCUGGAUGGCCGGGAUGUUGCUGUUGGUAUACUGACAGCCGGCAUCCCGGCCACUGGUAUUACAUACUGAAUCUGUGAGCUUAGAGAUAUGGCUUGGUGUGAUGGUAACAAAGGUCAGGUUUUCUAAUGUGUCCAUUCACAUCAGUCCCUGCCCCUGUGGACCUUAAAAUCUAUGGGGCAGAUGUUUUAAGCCUGGAGAAGUGAUAAAGUGGAAGGAGAUAACACAACAGCCAAUCAGCUCCUGUCUGUCAAGGUACAGGCUGGGUUUGGGAAAAAAAAUGACAGUUAAAAGCGGACAGGCUGGGGCGUUAUCAAGUUCCACUUUAUCACUUCUCCAGGCUUAAUACAUCUGCCCGUACAGUAUAUUCCCUACCACAUGUACCACUACACACAUUCACGCUAGAGUUAAUUGUUGUUGGGAGCCAAUUAACCUACCAGUAUAUUUUUGGAUAGGGAGAAGAAACCGGAGUACCCAGAGGAAACCCACGCAAGCAUGGGGAGAGUAUAUAAGCUCAAGACGGUCAGUGCCACCGUGGGGAUCGAACCCAUGUACUCAGUGCGGUGUUAUAAAGUAAUGCUAAGCAUUACACCGUCCAUGCUUCCCACACACACAAGUUCCCGGAUGAACGGCACUCCAAAUGGUAGUCACUUGAAUAAACCCGCUGGUUUCUUAAACUAUGAUGAAAAAUGGUUUUUAUAAUUGCCUACAGUUUGACACCCCGUUCAUCGAGGAACUUUAUCAUUUUUGGGCACCAAGCCAAUCACAUUACCAAGCGGUUCACCCUAAGACUAAUAAAAAUCUGGGUGAUAGUAGGACUUGCAGUGAAAUGGGGUCCCUUGAUAAUGUGCUGCAUGCUUUUUCUCCCCCCAUUAUAUAUAUUGCACACCCCGAAAAACGCCCAGGGCUGCAGGCGUAGAUCUCAGGACCAGCGGCUUCAUGUGGUUUUCUCAUGAGUUAGUAACCCCAAGCAACUUUGUGUGCUAUACCCUGAAGGAAAAAAUGCAAAUAUUGUUUACAAAGAAAUUGUUUGACUUGAGGAGCCUGCAUUCUGCACGCGCCGAGUGUCAAGUGUCCGGCUUUUCCUUAAUUGCCCCUAUCUCUGAUGUCACAUCGAUACCAUACGUAACUUAGUUUCUUCCUAGGUCACUAAGCUAUAGUAAGUUUUUGCGUGAUGCCGAUACGAACAGAAAAAUGUUGAGUAUUUUUUAGUCUCCACAGUCUCAAAGUAUAUUUCUCCCCCCACAAAUUGCUAUGUACAGACACAACCUUUAUAGUUUUAUUAUAUGUAUAGAUAUAAUCUUUAUAUUACUAUAUUAUGAGAUAUAUAUCUAAACAUUUCUAAUGUAAGGAGAUGAUGGGAAAGGAGCCCAUCCUGGCACUGCAGCACCACCAAGUGGCUGAUUUGUUGGUGGAAAUUUCCAGCUCUGUGCAUAGGUUAGGAGCACUGUCAGAGUGGAUGGCAGAUUUACGGUCGGCCUCAAGUGUAAAUCAACCCCACCCAGGUGCAGAGGUCAGGAUGAGUUUACAUACAAAACAUGACUCUGUACCUUCCUCUACUACCACCGCCUGUCAGCGCAUCUCCUGCCCACUGCAUGCCCACACUACCUGCCGCAACCUACCACCAUAACACCCUCUACCCCUUUCUACAGAGUAUUUUAUUAUCCACAAGGGAUCCGCAAGCGCCCAAUUACAGAGUACAGAAAAUAGUGACUUACGACUCGUACACACUAGACGAUAUAGUAAACGAUAUCACUUUUUUUACCCUCCUGAGCGAUAUCGCUUACUAUAUCGCCCAGUGUGUAUGCUGCUGCUGACGACGGCCGAUGCGCGGCCCCGCGGGUCGUUAAUGACCCUCGGUGUCGGGCAUGCAUGCAGCUCAAUCUGAACUCAUCGUCCAAAGCUGCCAUGUACAGCCCAGACGCACAUGACGUCACUGUGCGAUAUCGCAGUGUGUAUGCCCACGUUAGGCAGCCUGGGCUGGGAGAGGGACACACUAGACACUAGGCAAUGUCGCCCAGUGUGUAUGCACCUUUACAGUUGAAGACAACAUAGGACAAGUAUAGGGUAAAUAAAACAUAGAUACAUCAGCAGACGACACUGACAUAAGUAAUCAGGGUAGCAAGAAAACCGCGGGAUUUGGUACCGUUGAAGAUGGUUUAAGUAAGAGACGGAUAAGCACAUGAGGGUUGAGGACCCUGUGCGUGAGAGCUUACAUACUAAAGUAUAUGGCCCUUAUAUGAACUCUCAAAUAGGUUACUCUAUUAAACUGACUUCAAAAGUGACUUAAAUAGAAGUCAUUCUGUAAAUAUGGUCACCAUUUCUAACAACUUAAAAGCACAAAUGUAUGUCAAGGAGGUAAAACAUACAUGGACACAAUAAAAUAAUUCUUACAGAAUUGGAAUACAGAAUGAAUAAUACUAAAACACCCAGACCAAAAAUAAAAUAAUGACAAACCAAUUGGGCACCAACAACAGUAACACAUAUUUGUUCCACAAUUUAUUUUAAUUGAUUAUUCUGUCUGUGUAAAGCCAUCAUUCCAAGAUUUGCCGUGAAUAUUAAGUAAUCUUCAUCAUGAAGCUGUGCAAAAAUGGAUAUGCAACUACUGUACAUCUUACAACAUUUCUAAAUGAUGCAGGGAAUGCCAGCCCACUUCUCUCAACACUGUAGACAAGCUACUAGUCACACUGUGCCUAGGAAUUAUUGGGGGUAAUAAACUAAACUAAAACUACAUAUCUCCGUUUCUGAGCCCAAGAACCAUGUCAGGCUGAGUAAGCAACUAUUUGCCUACAUGUAGGGGGUCAUUCCGACCUGAUCGCA
This is a long non-coding RNA of Pseudophryne corroboree (corroboree frog), 3604 nucleotides long. RefSeq lists it as uncharacterized. Lineage: Eukaryota; Metazoa; Chordata; Amphibia; Anura; Myobatrachidae. The record is from RefSeq and is a predicted model, not a curated record. The transcript is spliced from 3 exons.